GCAGGAAUGUGAGGCCAAUGACGGCGUAUGUGCAAAGACAGUGAAAUCAGAGGGGAAGGGUAUUGAUAAUGACAGGCACCUGUGACAGGGUCUUGGGAACCCAUCAAAGGGCCGAUUGAGUUUCAAGAGUAGGCAGGCACGCAGAGUGAUGGUCCGAGCCCUUUGUAAGGACACAGUUGAAACCUGCGUCAGCAGGUGACUUCUCUAAUUUCACCUGUUUUCCCAGAAGGUGGUGAAAGAAUGGGGAGAAUUAGUGUCAGCUGCCCCUGCUUUCCUGUCCCCACCCCCUCUCCCACCUUUUCACCCUUUCCAGCGGAGGUGGAGCAAGGCCACUGAAAUAGCUAGAAGGGCUCAUAUUUUGUGAUAUACCUUCCUGGCUGGUGGAUCCGUCAGCAAAAGGGAGUUGGCUUUAUGCUGGAUGCCCUUUGAAUAUAUCAUGUCCCACCCUUCUGGUCAGCAGCGUUUCUACUGAACAAUCAGUGAUAGCCUUAUUGGGUUUCUCUGGUGCGUUAUAAACUGCUGCAUUGGAGCUGAGUCUUGGACCGAAUGAUAAAGCACUGGCUCCUUAUGAGCAGCUAGUCAGUGUUCUGUAACCCUCUGAUGUUCCUGGAGCUCAAAAAUGGUCAUAUACAUACUCACGAGACUUGAGAGAAGACUGGAUGAAUAGUCGACUAGAGGAUGCAGAAGAACGGAUCAGCAAUCUGAAAGAAUAGUGGAGAGAAACCAGAGUGAACAGCAAGAAGAAAAAAAAAAGGAUAGGUUAAAAGACCUCUGUACCCAACAUCAAGCAUCCUAACGUUUGUUGGUGCUAUAUAGGGAUUCCCAGAAGAAGAGAGAGAGAAAGGAGCAUAAAGCUUAUUUGAAUAAAUAAUGGCUGAAAAAUCUCCCUAAUCUGGGCAAAUGAACAGACAUCCAGGAAGCAGAUCCAAACAAUACGAAGUUAAAUAAUUCUGUAAUUAUAAUAGCAAAAAUUAAAGAGAGAAUGUUACAAGUAGCAAGAGAAAAGGAAAGAAUUACAUAGAAGGAAAAUCCAUAAGACUAUCAGCAGGAUUUUCAGGAGAAACAUUGAAUAUAUCAUGCCUCUCCUUUCUGGAUUGCAAAUAGCUAAGGGGGAGAAAAUCCCUACAACCCAGAAUACCCUAUGGAUCAAGGUUAUCAUUCAAGAUUAAAGGAGAAAUAAAGAGUGUCCCAGACAAACAAAAGUUAAAGGAGUCAAUUACCACUAAAUUGAUGUUACAAAAAAUAUUAAAGGGGAUCU
Long non-coding RNA from Felis catus (domestic cat), 1258 nucleotides. RefSeq lists it as uncharacterized. The record is from RefSeq and is a predicted model, not a curated record. The transcript is spliced from 4 exons. NCBI's taxonomy places the organism in Eukaryota, Metazoa, Chordata, Mammalia, Carnivora, Felidae.